UGUCAAACCUAUGCACAAAUUAAAUUCAUACCGUUCUUCUUCCUUUCAAACUUUUAUUUUAUUUUUCAGUUUAUAAUUAUAAUUAUAUAUAUGACUAUAUUUGAUCGUAGAGUUUUAAUUUCUUAACUAACGUCAUGCAUUAUUUUUUUAUUUUUUUUAUAGGUGAGGCCAACUUCCAUGUCUCUUUUUGAGAAAGAAUUUUGCAACACGCCAAAUAAAUACAAAUUAAACUUUGCUGGUGUGAUGAAUUAGGUUGCCAUGAAGAAAUUAUUCCAAACAAUUUUAAUGUCUGAUGAAUUGUGUUGCCUGGAAGAAAUUAUUCCAAACACUUAAAAUAUAAGUAUCAUUGUUAAUUCUCAAGAGUUGUAUACCUUUGUGUAUAAAUUUCUUUAGGAAAUGUAUAUGUAUUGUAUAUAUAUUGUAUAUUGUUAUAUUUUUUGUGGAAAUUAGAUUUUUUUUUUCUAUUUUAUUAUAAAGAUUUAUUAUGUUUACAACGUCACACUCAAUUUUGUGAAACAAAUCGAAUUAUAUUUUCUCUAAGGAUUUUGAAACAAAAAAAAAUCAUACAGUGAUAUAUUAUAGUAUAAUUUCAUUGAAGCAUGUGUAAUCAAAAUUUAUUGAGAGCAGUUGAUCUUUUUUAAUUGUAGUGAAUCGAAUGGCUAACAUAAAAAUAAAAAUAAAAAUGUACCUUUUAUAUAAAAAAUUAAGAGCCACCUUUCAAUUUCAAGAUGUUUUUCUUCCUAUUCUUUUUUGAGAGGUUUUUAGAAAUAUUCUAAACGGUGAUUAUAUGCAAUUUAGUACAAAAUAUAUGUUUCCCAACCUUA
This 824-nucleotide long non-coding RNA is filed under the name Medicago truncatula (barrel medic). RNAcentral's name for it is "lncRNA gene45865". The record is from RNAcentral. Lineage: Eukaryota; Viridiplantae; Streptophyta; Magnoliopsida; Fabales; Fabaceae.